This is a long non-coding RNA of Perca flavescens (yellow perch), 399 nucleotides long. RefSeq lists it as uncharacterized. Lineage: Eukaryota; Metazoa; Chordata; Actinopteri; Perciformes; Percidae. The record is from RefSeq and is a predicted model, not a curated record. The transcript is spliced from 5 exons.
AUCCAGGAACGUCAAACAACAACAAUUUGACGGCGAAGAGGUUGAGGCUCACGAAAGGAACGUAGGAAGGAAGCAGGAACGUAUGACGGAUCCAGGAACGUCAAACAAUGAGGCGAAGAGGUUGAGGCUCACGAAAGGAUCCAGGAACAUAGGAAGGAAGCAGGAACGUAAGAAGGAUCCAGGAACGUCAAACAACAACAAUUUGACGGCAAAGAGGUUGAGGCUCACGAAAGGAACGUAGGAAGGAAGCAGGAACGUAUGAUGGAUCCAGGAACGUCAAACAAUGAGGCGAAGAGGUUGAGGCUCACGAAAGGAUCCAGGAACAUAGGAAGGAAGCAGGAACGUAAGAAGGAUCCAGGAACGUCAAACAACAACAAUUUGACGGCAAAGAGGUUGAGG